Molecule: long non-coding RNA, 700 nt
Organism: Dermochelys coriacea (leatherback sea turtle)
Lineage: Eukaryota; Metazoa; Chordata; Testudines; Dermochelyidae
Exons: 3
Source: RefSeq, a predicted model, not a curated record
GAGCUGAGUGGUAUUCUGCAUUAAAAAUGAGUUGCAUUAAUUGGGGUCAGUCACUAUUCUCUUCUUACUACCCCACAGUUCUCUAUUCUAAUAAUUCACAUCUAAUUCUCAUGUUCUGUGCAAUACCUUUCUAAUGACCACAUUUUAUACUGUUCUCAUAUAUAAUGUUUGAGUGUUCCUGACUUUGAUAUACACUUCAACUUACACCAGAAAUAAUCAAACGUGUUCUAAUUCUCCCCUGUUUUGGUUCAAGAGUGAGUGGGUACUUACUGUGAAGUGCCCUAUUUUGAUUACUCUUGAGUUGAUAAAAUAAUAACUUGUUGGCACAUUAUAGGAGUUAAGAGUGAGGUGUUUUUUUUCCAGUUGAUCAUCAUACUCCCAUUUUGUCAAUUGACCUAUUUGCUAUGUGGGUGUAGUUAAACAAUUAUGAAAGUGGCUCAAAGUAGGGUUGGUCUUUUUUUACAAUAAGACUUAAUACUGAUUCAUAACACAUUCUGUACAUUUGAGUUUAACUGAUCUCUAGGAAUUACAAAAUACAUGAGUACAUGAACAUUGUUGAAUUUAUGCUGCUUACUUUGGCUUUCCUGCUGAUGGGUCCAUGAUCAGUUUGUCCUAAAGUAAGCAUUGUAGGUGCUAUUGCAUCCGAUGAAGUGAGCUGUAGCUCACGAAACCUUAUGCUCAAAUAAAUUUUAGUCUCUAA